RNA transcript from Cucurbita maxima (winter squash), 3767 nucleotides. RefSeq lists it as uncharacterized. The record is from RefSeq and is a predicted model, not a curated record. The transcript has 9 exons. NCBI's taxonomy places the organism in Eukaryota, Viridiplantae, Streptophyta, Magnoliopsida, Cucurbitales, Cucurbitaceae.
ACCGGAUAUGCGCAGAGGAUCGGACGACGGGCAAACAAAGUUGAGAAAACCUCAAGAAGGCAGCAGGUGACGGUCACAGAAAAGAAGGAAGUUCGCACGUGUCGUGUUUGCAUCGGGAGUUCACAGAAAUUCCGAUUUGCCUCGCCGCGUUUGGAGAAACGCCGCUUUCCUUUCUCCCCAAAUUUCCUUCUCUAGGGUUUCUCUUAAACCCGCCCGACGCCAUAUCCUUCGUCUUCCUUCUCUCAACCCUUCUCCCGCACACCCUCGCCGCUACGGUUAGUGUCAACAUUACACUCUUUCUAUACGGGGACUGGUAAGGAAUUAUUGCAUUACGGAGAUGGGAGCACUUGCCCCUAUCGCGCCUUGGAGCCCUGAAGAUGAUAUUCUGCUCAAGAACGCCGUCGAGGCGAGUGCUUCCUUGGAGGCCCUUGCCAAAGGUGCUGUGCAGUUUUCUCGAAGAUACACAGUAAGAGAAUUGCAAGAACGAUGGCAUUCUUUACUUUAUGAUCCAAUUGUAUCUGAAGAUGCAUCUAUGUCCAUGAUUGAUGUUGAGCGUUCUUCUUCCAUUCUUCCAUCAAAGUUCAACAAGUUUGGGAAUUCAAAAGAAAAUAAAUGUAUUGGUGGGAAGAGGAAAUCUGGCAGUGUGCGGCAUUGCUAUUAUGCUUUGCGUAAAAGAAUUUGCAAUGAACCCUUUAAUCCUAUGGGCCCGAGUUAUCUUGUUGGUGAUAGUGACUAUGUCACUGAAGAGCCUAUGUCAGGAAAUUGCAUCCCUCCAACAUCAGAUGAUUUUGGUCUUCAGAGCUCAGAGCUGGGCACCUUGCCCUGUAAUUUUUCCCAAAAUGCGAUGAAUAAUGACGAUACUGAGCACACUUUUCAUUCUGGAUGUCAACAUACUGUUGAGCAUUUUCCUCAGAACCUGGAUAAUGGACAUGAGGGAAUUUCUCACGUUAUGGUAGAUAAUCUGCCUUUCGCCAAUGAAUCUCAUGCUAAGGAAUUGGCUCCAUCAGCUAGCUUUCCAGUCCAUAACCUCUUUGAAAAUGAUUUGGAGGCGGGACCUUCUACGUUUGGGCAACUGAGCACUGAUCAGAGAGUGAUGGGCUCUGAACCAGAAGACAACGAUGUCUUCAAUUCUCCUGUUUCUGAUUCUGGUGCAUCUUUUCAUAAUGUCGAGUACUCAUCUCCUCUUCCUGGCAUGCCAAUAUGGAGAGAUGCUUCGUCAGCCUUGCCAAUUGAUGUUGGCUUUGCAGAUAAGGAUGUGCCUACAGGAGACUCUUUUGAACUCCCUGAUGAUGAUGGGAACAACAACAUUCAAAAUGCAAGAUUAGCGGGCUAUGAGGCUCACUCUAACUCAAAGUUGAAGAUUGAAGUGCAGCAUGAUCAUUUGAAAAGUCCAAAUGCCACUGCUGAAGGUUGUUAUUUAGUGGAACUGUCCAAUACUGUUUUGAACACGAGCAAUGAGGAUGAACUGUUUUUCAUGGAUGUUGAUGGGCUGUCACUUUUGUUGAGUUCACCAAAUGAAGUCAAUCACGAUCAAACAGGCAAUGCAAUUUAUUCAGAAACAGUGUUACCAACGGAUACAAUGUUAGAUCCCCCCUCUGCAUGUUCUGGAGAGUUGUAUGAAAAGGGAUCCCACUGUAGCGAUGGACAUUUGGAUUGUAGUUCAGAAGCUCAUCCAUCACCAUCUACAUCUUUGAACAGUCAAUGUCCUGGAAAAAUUGAUGAACCUCUUUUCUGUACUUUGAACACAGAAGAUCCAGAAAUCCCUAGCAAUGACGAUGUUUUUCUACCUCCAUUGUCAACAAUUGCUACUAUGGGAUACCAUUUUAAUGAUUGCAUGGGUCCUACUUUUUCAUCUACUAGUGAUUUCUCUUGUAAAGAAAACUCUGGUGAAAUGACUCAAAACCUUGUGCAAAGGGAGAGGAAAAAUCAUGAUGGACAACCUCAUGUUUCAACCAUAUCAAUGGGAUUGCAUUGUUUGCCUGAAAGAGGUGAAAAACAUCUGAUUAGUGGAGAUGGUGUUAAUUUAAAAUUAUCCCAUAGCAACUCCAUACACGUGCCAUCUGCAAAUAAAACCAGCUCCAUAAAUGUAAAUGACGAUACCAUCCUACCUGUCACUCUCAUGGAAGAGAACAAUGAAAUUUCCCUGGAACCAAAUACAUCGACUUCAGUGAAAGAUCAUCGAUUAUCACGAGAAGUGGGUGUUCAAGGUGUUUUCGGUGUAGAACAAGAUGGAAUGUAUUCGACAUCUGAUCAUGAAGAGUUAUUUAUUGAUAGUGAAGAUGAUUUACCUCAUUUUUCAGAUAUUGAGGCUAUGAUACUUGAUAUGGACUUGGAUCCAGAAGAUCAAGAUCUGUAUCCAAAUGAAGAAGUCUUAAAAUAUCAACAUAUAGACACCAGGAAGAGAAUCAUCAGACUGGAGCAAGGGAUUAAUGCUUGUAUGCAAAGAUCUAUUGCCUCUCAUGGGGCAUUAGCAGUUCUUUGUGGCCGACAUUCGAAGCAUUACAUUAAGAAAUCAGAGGUUCUGCUGGGUAGAGCAACUGCAGAAUUCAUUGUAGACAUUGACUUGGGAAGUGAGGGAAGCGGUAACAAAAUAUCUCGACGGCAGGCAAUUAUAAAAAUAGAUCAGGAUGGAUUUUUCUCCCUGAAGAAUCUUGGCAAGUGCUCAAUCUCCAUAAAUAACAAGGAUGUGGCCCCUGGUCACUGCCUGCGACUUAAUUCUGGUUGCUUGAUUGAGAUUAGGGGAAUGGCAUUUAUAUUUGAGUCAAACCCAGUUCGUAUGAAGCAGUAUGUAGAUAACGUAGGCAAGACAUCUCACAAACAGGAGUAUCAAUCAUAAUGAUAGAUGGCAACGUAGCUGGCAUGGACUGUUGUACAGUCGGAAGGUGCUCAUGUUUCUGCACUUUCUUCUGGUUCUUUAGGUAUGCUUGCUGUGUUAAGUUGUUAUCUAGCAUGCGAUUAGAAAUGUAAAUUCUAUUAGUUUCAGUAAUUCCAGUAGUUAUUUCGUAAAUUGCUUUGUGAUUCAACGUUUUACUUCUCAAUGAGGUUUUAUUGGAUUGCUAAAGAUGGGAAACAAUAGCAACAACACGUUUGUGGAAAGAUUAUUUCGAGAAGUAACAUCAGCGAGGAGUUGUCCAACCAAAUUGCGAAGAUAUAGCCUAGGUGAUGUAUUUGUAGAGGGAGUUGAGGUUGCAACAUUUGACAGCCAAUUUCAUCUAGAGGCGUAGUGAGAAGGGGAAAGAACAGUAGAGUGAAGGAUAUCUGACAAAUUCAAUACAAAAGAAACUGCAGGUUGGGACAAUCUAAUCACGAUUUCAACUCAGGACAGCUACAAAACGAGGCAGUGGCUGAUGUCUGAUGUGUUGGAUUGAGAGACUCACCGACCUGUCCAAACUGAUAAAAGCCUUAUCCAUCUGAUUCUGAACUGAAAUCGGGAAUUUAUUGCAAUACUUUGUUGUUGUCGAGAAAGGGGAUGAAUCUUCUUGGUACCUGCGCUGUUUUGAUUUUCUGCUCUUCCAAGUUGGUAGCCACUUAUUUUGAUUUGUCAUUCUCUUACUACUGACAUUUUAUCAAUUAAUUUAUAUCUCUAUAUGUAAGAAAUUAUUGAAUGAAUAGAAGAUAUAAGUUGUUCGGAAUAUAUUAUAAUUGUGGCUAGGGUGAUGGUUCUCGUUCCUUAGAGUGGGUCCUCCUGGAGUUUGUAGGCAGAUCUAAACGAUCUUGUCUGGACAAAGAGAUGAAUGGCCAUGUAAUAAUAGUGCUGUCUCCAUGAA